GAUGAACGCUGGCGGCGUGCCUAAUACAUGCAAGUAGAACGCUGAAGCUUGGUGCUUGCACCGAGCGGAUGAGUUGCGAACGGGUGAGUAACGCGUAGGUAACCUGCCUGGUAGCGGGGGAUAACUAUUGGAAACGAUAGCUAAUACCGCAUAACAGUAGAUAUUGCAUGAUAUCUGCUUGAAAGGUGCAAAUGCAUCACUACCAGAUGGACCCGCGUUGUAUUAGCUAGUUGGUGAGGUAACGGCUCACCAAGGCGACGAUACAUAGCCGACCUGAGAGGGUGAUCGGCCACACUGGGACUGAGACACGGCCCAGACUCCUACGGGAGGCAGCAGUAGGGAAUCUUCGGCAAUGGGGGGAACCCUGACCGAGCAACGCCGCGUGAGUGAAGAAGGUUUUCGGAUCGUAAAGAUCUGUUGUAAGAGAAGAACGAGUGUGAGAGUGGAAAGUUCACACUGUGACGGUAUCUUACCAGAAAGGGACGGCUAACUACGUG
Molecule: ribosomal RNA, 497 nt
Filed under: uncultured bacterium
Lineage: Bacteria
Description: partial 16S ribosomal RNA
Rfam family: Bacterial small subunit ribosomal RNA
Source: RNAcentral